AAUAAACGCUGGCGGCGUGCCUAACACAUGCAAGUCGAGCGAGAAAGCUCCUUCGGGAGUUAGUAAAGCGGCGAACGGGUGAGCAACACGUGAGAAUCUACCCUUUAGUGAAGAAUACCCUCGAGAAAUCGAGGCUAAUACUGCAUACGUCCCUUCGGGGAGAAAGAUGGCCUCUUUGCUAUCGCUAAAGGAUGAGCUUGCGUACUAUUAGCUAGUUGGCGGGGUAAAGGCCCACCAAGGCAAUGAUGGUUAACCGGCCUGAGAGGGUGUACGGUCACACUGGAACUUAGACACGGUCCAGACUCCUACGGGAGGCAGCAGUGAGGAAUCUUGCGCAAUGGGCGAAAGCCUGACGCAGCGACGCCGCGUGGAGGAUGACGGUUUUCGGAUUGUAAACUCCUGUUAAGCGGGAAGAAAGCCUUGUUUCUAAUACAAGCAAGGUAUGACGGUACCGCUAGAGAAAGCACCGGCUAACUUCGUGCCAGCAGCCGCGGUAAGGUCGUCAU
This 506-nucleotide ribosomal RNA is filed under the name uncultured bacterium. Its description in RNAcentral is "bacterial SSU rRNA". It matches the Rfam family "Bacterial small subunit ribosomal RNA", at positions 29 to 529 of the family's 1533-position model. The record is from RNAcentral.